CACGUAGGGCGCGAGCGUUGUCCGGAAUUAUUGGGCGUAAAGAGCUCGUAGGCGGCCUGUUGCGUCCGCUGUGAAAGCCCGGGGCUUAACCCCGGGUCUGCAGUGGAUACGGGCAGGCUAGAGGUAGGUAGGGGAGAAUGGAAUUCCCGGUGUAGCGGUGAAAUGCGCAGAUAUCAGGAAGAACACCCGUGGCUAAGGCGGCUCUCUAGUACGGUACUGACGCUGAGACGCGAAAGCGUGGGGAGCGAACAGG
RNAcentral lists this ribosomal RNA (253 nucleotides) under uncultured bacterium. RNAcentral describes it as "partial 16S ribosomal RNA". It matches the Rfam family "Bacterial small subunit ribosomal RNA", at positions 524 to 776 of the family's 1533-position model. The record is from RNAcentral.